This 433-nucleotide ribosomal RNA is filed under the name uncultured bacterium. Its description in RNAcentral is "partial 16S ribosomal RNA". It matches the Rfam family "Bacterial small subunit ribosomal RNA", at positions 29 to 507 of the family's 1533-position model. The record is from RNAcentral.
AACGAACGCUGGCGGCAGGCCUAACACAUGCAAGUCGAGCGCGCCCUCCGGGGUUAGCGGCGGACGGGUGAGUAACGCGUGGGAACGUGCCCUUUUCUACGGAAUAGCCUCGGGAAACUGAGAGUAAUACCGUAUACGCCCAUUGGGGGUAAGAUGUUUGGGGACAGGAUCGGCCCGCGUUGGAUUAGGUGGUUGGUGGGGUAAUGGCCUGCCAAGCCGACGAUCCAUAGCUGGUUGGGGAGGAGGACAAGCCGCACUGGAGAUGAGACACGGCCUACACCCCGACGGGAGGGAGCAGUAGAGAGCAUUAGGCAAUGGGGCCAACUGUAGCCUCGCCGUGUGGGGGGAGAGAUGAAUGCCUUAGGGUUGUAAAGCCGUUUGUGAUGGAAAGAUAAUGACGGUACCGGCUAAAGAAGCCCCGGCUAACUCCGUG